This 1440-nucleotide ribosomal RNA is filed under the name Bacillus subtilis. RNAcentral describes it as "bacterial SSU rRNA". It matches the Rfam family "Bacterial small subunit ribosomal RNA". The record is from RNAcentral. Lineage: Bacteria; Bacillati; Bacillota; Bacilli; Caryophanales; Bacillaceae.
GGGGAAUUGGGGCGUGCUAUACAUGCAGUCGAGCGGACAGAUGGGAGCUUGCUCCCUGAUGUUAGCGGCGGACGGGUGAGUAACACGUGGGUAACCUGCCUGUAAGACUGGGAUAACUCCGGGAAACCGGGGCUAAUACCGGAUGCUUGUUUGAACCGCAUGGUUCAAACAUAAAAGGUGGCUUCGGCUACCACUUACAGAUGGACCCGCGGCGCAUUAGCUAGUUGGUGAGGUAACGGCUCACCAAGGCAACGAUGCGUAGCCGACCUGAGAGGGUGAUCGGCCACACUGGGACUGAGACACGGCCCAGACUCCUACGGGAGGCAGCAGUAGGGAAUCUUCCGCAAUGGACGAAAGUCUGACGGAGCAACGCCGCGUGAGUGAUGAAGGUUUUCGGAUCGUAAAGCUCUGUUGUUAGGGAAGAACAAGUACCGUUCGAAUAGGGCGGUACCUUGACGGUACCUAACCAGAAAGCCACGGCUAACUACGUGCCAGCAGCCGCGGUAAUACGUAGGUGGCAAGCGUUGUCCGGAAUUAUUGGGCGUAAAGGGCUCGCAGGCGGUUUCUUAAGUCUGAUGUGAAAGCCCCCGGCUCAACCGGGGAGGGUCAUUGGAAACUGGGGAACUUGAGUGCAGAAGAGGAGAGUGGAAUUCCACGUGUAGCGGUGAAAUGCGUAGAGAUGUGGAGGAACACCAGUGGCGAAGGCGACUCUCUGGUCUGUAACUGACGCUGAGGAGCGAAAGCGUGGGGAGCGAACAGGAUUAGAUACCCUGGUAGUCCACGCCGUAAACGAUGAGUGCUAAGUGUUAGGGGGUUUCCGCCCCUUAGUGCUGCAGCUAACGCAUUAAGCACUCCGCCUGGGGAGUACGGUCGCAAGACUGAAACUCAAAGGAAUUGACGGGGGCCCGCACAAGCGGUGGAGCAUGUGGUUUAAUUCGAAGCAACGCGAAGAACCUUACCAGGUCUUGACAUCCUCUGACAAUCCUAGAGAUAGGACGUCCCCUUCGGGGGCAAAAUGACAGGUGGUGCAUGGUUGUCGUCAGCUCGUGUCCUGAGAUGUUGGGUUAAGUCCCGCAACGAGCGCAACCCUUGAUCUUAGUUGCCAGCAUUCAGUUGGGCACUCUAAGGUGACUGCCGGUGACAAACCGGAGGAAGGUGGGGAUGACGUCAAAUCAUCAUGCCCCUUAUGACCGGGGCUAACACCGUGCUACAAUGGGACAGAACAAAGGGGCACCGAAACCCCCGAGGUUAAGCCAAUCCCACAAAUUUGUUUCCCAGUUCGGAUCGCAAUCUGCAACUCGACUGGCUGGAAACUGGAAACCCUAAUAAAUCCCGGAAUAACAUGCCCCCGGGGAAAAUAUUUCCCGGGGCCUGUUAACACCCGCCCCCUCACCACCCGAAGUUUGUUACCCCCCAGCACGGGAGGGACCUUUAGAGCCA